AGGACGAACGCUGGCGGCGUGCUUAACACAUGCAAGUCGAGCGGUAAGGCCUUUCGGGGUACACGAGCGGCGAACGGGUGAGUAACACGUGGGUGAUCUGCCCUGCACUUCGGGAUAAGCCUGGGAAACUGGGUCUAAUACCGGAUAUGACCUCCUAUCGCAUGGUGGGUGGUGGAAAGAUUUAUCGGUGCAGGAUGGGCCCGCGGCCUAUCAGCUUGUUGGUGGGGUAAUGGCCUACCAAGGCGACGACGGGUAGCCGACCUGAGAGGGUGACCGGCCACACUGGGACUGAGACACGGCCCAGACUCCUACGGGAGGCAGCAGUGGGGAAUAUUGCGCAAUGGGCGAAAGCCUGAUGCAGCGACGCCGCGUGAGGAUGACGGCCUUCGGGUUGUAAACCUCUUUCAGCGAGGACGAAGCGACGAAGUCGGACCGGUACCUGCAGAAGAAGCCGACCGCUAACACGUGCCAGCACGCCGAC
This 481-nucleotide ribosomal RNA is filed under the name uncultured soil bacterium. RNAcentral describes it as "bacterial SSU rRNA". It matches the Rfam family "Bacterial small subunit ribosomal RNA", at positions 26 to 522 of the family's 1533-position model. The record is from RNAcentral.